AUUUUAGUGGAAUCAAGGAAGAAACGCAAAAAACUAGACCCCAUUAAAGAAGCAGAAAUGUACAUGUCAGAAGGAAGAGAUAGGGCUGAUGAACUGGAAAUGCGAUACAUAAACAAUGUCAAAGGACGGGGCGUAUUUGCAAAAUCUCAUUUCGAAAAAGGGAGAUUCAUUUUAGAAUACAAAGGAAAGCUUGUCAAAGGAAAAAGUCCGGAUCUGUGUACAGCAAAUGUAGAUUACAUGUACAGUUUUCGUUACCAAGGCAUGACUUAUUGUAUUGAUGCAUCUGUUGAAGAUGGCUCGCUGGGAAGACUUUGUAAUGAUAGCGAAGAGCCAAACACCAAAGUAAAGACAGUGCUGAUACAGAACAAUCCUCACUUGUGUUUAUUUGCAAUAAAAGACAUUGAAGUUGGAGACGAAAUAACAUAUGAUUACGGUGGUGAGGGCCUUCCGUGGCGCCAAAAACAUCUUAAAAAAAAAGUAAGUUAGCAGUCUUGGUUGAUUUCACAUUGAAAGUUUUGUUAUUUAAUCUCCCUAACUUUUCUCCCGCUCAUUCACUCUUCCUCUCUGUUACUGUUUUAACAGCGGAUAA
Astyanax mexicanus (Mexican tetra) is the source of this 589-nucleotide long non-coding RNA. RefSeq lists it as uncharacterized. Lineage: Eukaryota; Metazoa; Chordata; Actinopteri; Characiformes; Acestrorhamphidae. The transcript is spliced from 3 exons. The record is from RefSeq and is a predicted model, not a curated record.